Long non-coding RNA from Nylanderia fulva, 391 nucleotides. RefSeq lists it as uncharacterized. NCBI's taxonomy places the organism in Eukaryota, Metazoa, Arthropoda, Insecta, Hymenoptera, Formicidae. The record is from RefSeq and is a predicted model, not a curated record.
AUUGCGGAGCAUGAUGAGCAGAUCGAGUCUGGCUCGCGAAGCGUUUAUGUGAGAGCCGUGAGAGUGAAAUAAGAGAGGAGAAAGUUCGGAGCAGCAUUAACUGACGGUGGAGCUCUAACAUGAGGUUAUAAUAACGUAUAUAUAGUUGAUAAAAUCGACAAAAUGAAAAGAAAGGAGGAAAUAAAGGACAUCGCAAAGAUAUCCUAGAAUCAACGUAGCUGACAAUAUGGACAAAUUGAGAGAGGAAGAAGGAGGUCUAGGAGAGGCAUCGGGCGCCGGCGAAACAUCCUAAGAAUCAACAUAGCUUGCAGUUUAUUCCAUCGUUGCGCAUCGAUUGGUGAAUAAUUAAUAAAACUAUUAUUUUAUUUCGAAGUAAUUGUUUUGUAGAAAU